CGAGCGGCGGACGGGUGAGUAAUGCCUAGGAAAUUGCCCUGAUGUGGGGGAUAACCAUUGGAAACGAUGGCUAAUACCGCAUGAUGCCUACGGGCCAAAGAGGGGGACCUUCGGGCCUCUCGCGUCAGGAUAUGCCUAGGUGGGAUUAGCUAGUUGGUGAGGUAAGGGCUCACCAAGGCGACGAUCCCUAGCUGGUCUGAGAGGAUGAUCAGCCACACUGGAACUGAGACACGGUCCAGACUCCUACGGGAGGCAGCAGUGGGGAAUAUUGCACAAUGGGCGCAAGCCUGAUGCAGCCAUGCCGCGUGUGUGAAGAAGGCCUUCGGGUUGUAAAGCACUUUCAGUCGUGAGGAAGGUAGUGUAGUUAAUAGCUGCAUUAUUUGACGUUAGCGACAGAAGAAGCACCGGCUAACUCCGUGCCAGCAGCCGCGGUAAUACGGAGGGUGCGAGCGUUAAUCGGAAUUACUGGGCGUAAAGCGCAUGCAGGUGGUUUGUUAAGUCAGAUGUGAAAGCCCGGGGCUCAACCUCGGAAUUGCAUUUGAAACUGGCAGACUAGAGUACUGUAGAGGGGGGUAGAAUUUCAGGUGUAGCGGUGAAAUGCGUAGAGAUCUGAAGGAAUACCGGUGGCGAAGGCGGCCCCCUGGACAGAUACUGACACUCAGAUGCGAAAGCGUGGGGAGCAAACAGGAUUAGAUACCCUGGUAGUCCACGCCGUAAACGAUGUCUACUUGGAGGUUGUGGCCUUGAGCCGUGGCUUUCGGAGCUAACGCGUUAAGUAGACCGCCUGGGGAGUACGGUCGCAAGAUUAAAACUCAAAUGAAUUGACGGGGGCCCGCACAAGCGGUGGAGCAUGUGGUUUAAUUCGAUGCAACGCGAAGAACCUUACCUACUCUUGACAUCCAGAGAACUUUCCAGAGAUGGAUUGGUGCCUUCGGGAACUCUGAGACAGGUGCUGCAUGGCUGUCGUCAGCUCGUGUUGUG
This 981-nucleotide ribosomal RNA is filed under the name Vibrio parahaemolyticus. Its description in RNAcentral is "bacterial SSU rRNA". It matches the Rfam family "Bacterial small subunit ribosomal RNA", at positions 92 to 1069 of the family's 1533-position model. The record is from RNAcentral. Lineage: Bacteria; Pseudomonadati; Pseudomonadota; Gammaproteobacteria; Vibrionales; Vibrionaceae.